CACUUUCCAAAGUGGAGGAUGAGGCCUA
This 28-nucleotide non-coding RNA is filed under the name Homo sapiens (human). Lineage: Eukaryota; Metazoa; Chordata; Mammalia; Primates; Hominidae. The record is from RNAcentral.